Molecule: ribosomal RNA, 410 nt
Filed under: uncultured bacterium
Lineage: Bacteria
Description: bacterial SSU rRNA
Rfam family: Bacterial small subunit ribosomal RNA
Source: RNAcentral
AGUCGGACGGGGCCGCUUCGGCGGCUUACGUGGCGGACGGGUGAGGAACACGUGGGCAACCUGCCCCGAGGUGGGGGGUAGCCCGUGGAAACAUGGGGUAAUUCCGCAUAGCCUCGCUGGCUGGUGGGGUCGGCGAGGAAAGCCCGGGUGGCGACACCGGGGCGCCUUGGGAGGGGUCUGCGGCCGAUUAGCUGGCUGGUGGGGUCACGGCCUACCAGGGCGAUGAUCGGUAGCUGGUCUGAGAGGAUGGCCAGCCACAGGGGAACUGAGACACGGUCCCCACUCCUACGGGAGGCAGCAGCAAGGAAUUUUCCACAAUGGGCGCAAGCCUGAUGGAGCAACGCCGCGUGCGGGAGGACGCCUUUCGGGGUGUAAACCGCUGUUGUCCGGGACGAAGGCCGGGGUGACCC